Ipomoea nil (Japanese morning glory) is the source of this 107-nucleotide small nucleolar RNA. It matches the Rfam family "Plant small nucleolar RNA R71". Rfam says of the family: R71 is a member of the C/D box family of snoRNAs containing the C (UGAUGA) and D (CUGA) box motifs. Multiple nearly identical copies of this snoRNA have been identified in Arabidopsis, and it is thought to function as a 2'-O-ribose methylation guide for 18S ribosomal RNA. The record is from Rfam. NCBI's taxonomy places the organism in Eukaryota, Viridiplantae, Streptophyta, Magnoliopsida, Solanales, Convolvulaceae.
AUGUCAUGGUGUGGACAUUUCCUUCUUAACUCCUUGAAUCUCUCCCAAGACUCGGCUAGAGAUUCACUUGCCAAUUGCUUGAAAUUUUGGAUUGCUCCCCUCAGCUU